CCUACGGGAGGCAGCAGUGAGGAAUAUUGGUCAAUGGGCUUACGCCUGAACCAGCCAAGUCGCGUGAGGGAAGACUGCCCUAUGGGUUGUAAACCUCUUUUGUCAGGGAGCAAUUUGCGCUACGUGUAGCGUUAUCGAGAGUACCUGAAGAAAAAGCAUCGGCUAACUCCGUGCCAGCAGCCGCGGUAAUACGGAGGAUGCGAGCGUUAUCCGGAUUUAUUGGGUUUAAAGGGUGCGUAGGCGGAAUGCCAAGUCAGCGGUAAAAUCGCGGGGCUCAACCUCGCUCCGCCGUUGAAACUGGCGGUCUUGAGUGGGCGAGAAGUAUGCGGAAUGCGUGGUGUAGCGGUGAAAUGCAUAGAUAUCACGCAGAACUCCGAUUGCGAAGGCAGCAUACCGGCGCCCAACUGACGCUGAAGCACGAAAGCGUGGGUAUCGAACAGGAUUAGAUACCCCUGUAGUC
RNAcentral lists this ribosomal RNA (460 nucleotides) under uncultured bacterium. RNAcentral describes it as "partial 16S ribosomal RNA". It matches the Rfam family "Bacterial small subunit ribosomal RNA", at positions 338 to 795 of the family's 1533-position model. The record is from RNAcentral.